RNAcentral lists this ribosomal RNA (253 nucleotides) under uncultured bacterium. RNAcentral's name for it is "partial 16S ribosomal RNA". It matches the Rfam family "Bacterial small subunit ribosomal RNA", at positions 524 to 776 of the family's 1533-position model. The record is from RNAcentral.
UACGAAGGGGGCUAGCGUUGCUCGGAAUCACUGGGCGUAAAGGGUGCGUAGGCGGGUUUUUAAGUCAGAGGUGAAAUCCUGGAGCUCAACUCCAGAACUGCCUUUGAUACUGAGAAUCUUGAGUUCGGGAGAGGUGAGUGGAACUGCGAGUGUAGAGGUGAAAUUCGUAGAUAUUCGCAAGAACACCAGUGGCGAAGGCGGCUCACUGGCCCGAUACUGACGCUGAGGCACGAAAGCGUGGGGAGCGAACAGG